This is a long non-coding RNA of Coregonus clupeaformis (lake whitefish), 2037 nucleotides long. RefSeq lists it as uncharacterized. The record is from RefSeq and is a predicted model, not a curated record. The transcript is spliced from 4 exons. NCBI's taxonomy places the organism in Eukaryota, Metazoa, Chordata, Actinopteri, Salmoniformes, Salmonidae.
GACAAGAUGAACACCCUGCUGGGGAGUGAGAUAAUCGAGAUCCUGUCUCUGGAGAGACUGGUGAACCAGAGCCACUGUCUGUGCCACAUUGAGCCUUGCUCAGCCUUCAUAGACCGGUGGAGGUGGACAGACAGGAUGACACUGCGGGUCUUUGCUGGCCACUGCGUGCCGUCAAUCUGGAUUACCCAGAAUUCUGUUCUCGCAUAAUCAGGAAAAUCAGGGACAGGAGACCUCUGGCACCAGAUGAGAGGAACAACCAUGGGAAGAUGGAGAGGCCGCAGCAAGCCCAAAGAGGAAAGAUUACAUGGCAGCAAAAAUGACCAUUGUAAAGUACAACGCCUUCAAGAAAAGGACCAAAGGCCCAAGACCCCUUCACUACAACCCAUUCGAAAGAUCUUGAAAAAGGGAAAGACAUUGACAGUUUUAAUAUAGUUGCAGAUCCAUUUGAUCUUGAUAAGAUUCCUAUAGUUUCAGUACAGUAAAGGUGUUAAGUGUGAACUGAUGAGCAUUUUAUAUUGUAGAAGAGCAGGUCAAGAUUAAAGACAGAAGAGGAAAGUGAAGGAGGAGAGAAUGUGGAGGGAGGGGGAGGGGCAGGGAGGUAGCACAGAGGCGGACCAGGAACACACUGUGCAGAAAGAGAAGGCCAGCAGUCCCCUAAUACCUCUGAAACGAGGGAAGCUGAAACGCAAAGCCAAAGUGAAGGAAGAGACCCUAGACCUCCCAGAAUCAGUUGAAAACUAAGACAAAGACAAAUCAAGAUAAAGGGGACAAGAAGAAGAAGAAAGAAACAGAAGUGAAAAAGGAGAACAGAAUUAUAGUAACUUGACAAGGAAUGCCCACACGCAUUUCAAUAUUACUUUCCUUUACUUUCAACCCAAUAAAUAAAAGGUGUACAGCCAUGUACAAAUGGUACAAAAUCAGCAAAACGAUACAGCCCACUCAACCUGUGGUAGAGUCACAUUGUACAGAUCCGACUCUGGGGGAUGACAUCAUCAAAGGAGAAAGGUCACGGUCAAUGCCAAUAAUAACCCUACACACAUUAAUAGUAAUCAUACUAUAGUGCAAGUAAGUACAACACAUAUUCAAUGUAAUUAUUUAUAUAGCGUCCACACUAUAACAAGAAUAAACACUAAGGAGAUUCCAGGGGCAUACUCUUAGCCAGUUGACCUCUCCGCGAACUUUGGUGAGCCCCCAGUCACUCCUUCUUAACUUGCACUGAAAUGCAAAGCCAAAAUUAGACACUGUCUGAGGAUCAAAGCCUGUUUUUAAACAAGAUAUAUGAUUUCCCUGUUUCCUGAUAGAUCUUUACCGAAAAGCCAUUUUGGCUCUGAAAGAGCAUCAGGAUCAGAGCUAGUGAGAGUAGAGGGUUGAGAGAGCGAGAGAUAGAGUCCUGGGUCCAGUGUGUGACUACGCAUUCUGCUAUCCUGGCAAGGGCAGCACUCCAGUGAUUAUGAACACGCGUAGACACCUUAGUGACUCCCCCUCAGCCUCUUCCCAUCCACCCAUCAAGACAGCUACCUGACAGACUGACUGACAGAGGGAGGCCUGCCUUGCCUGCAACCCCUCCACAACCUCGUUCUAUUACCUCACAUCUUAAACUUAUGGAUUACAACUGGAGUUACCAUCGGCUUUUGAAGGACAAUUAAAAAAUACCUGACAGCAAGUUUUUCUUAGUAGCCACUGUGUAGGAAUUACAAAGCCAAUACACCCCUAAGAAAUGUGUGUUUAUUUUAUGUUACCAAAAUAUGUUAUAUGAAAGUGUCAAUAUUUAUUUAUUAGUGAUUAUUUAAUUAUCUGCAGUAAAAGUAAACAAUUGUUCACAAACAUGAUCAAUGUACGUACUCGGCCAAACUAUUUGAAAUCCUCCUUGUAAAUAUAAAUAGAGUUUAUCUGUUUAUAUUGUAAUUUUGAUGGAAAGGGAGACAUGUUUUUAUAAAGUUUCUAGACUUUUUUAUAGGACUGUUGAAAACAUUUCCCACAGAAAAUAAAGUAAGCUAAAGGAAAAUAGCAUUAUGAGAGAUUACAACACCAGGUCAA